Long non-coding RNA from Triticum dicoccoides, 619 nucleotides. RefSeq lists it as uncharacterized. Lineage: Eukaryota; Viridiplantae; Streptophyta; Magnoliopsida; Poales; Poaceae. The record is from RefSeq and is a predicted model, not a curated record. The transcript has 4 exons.
UCUCGCUUGAAUUUGGGAGACUAUCUUUUCCCGUUUCCCCACUCUGGACGCUCUAUUUCGAUAAGCUCGAGGGCGAGCUCGAGCGGCGCAGCAUAGCAGGCUAUUCUCCCCGUCCAUGGCGAUUCUCGCCGCUCGAUUUUGAUUUCUUUUCCCUUUCUCUUUGAUCUCCAGUGUCGCGGUUGGUUGCUCCUCUCUCCCGCUCUCUUCCGCUCUCUGCCCGUGUGCUUUUUGCUUCCGUCUGGUUCCAGAUCUAGUGUAAUUUGUUCUGCACUUGCGGUGUAAUUUGUUCAUCAAGGAAUUCAUCGUCUCCAUCUUGUCCAAAUUCAUGUUAUAGAACAGGUUUGUGUCCCAGGGAUUGGAUUCUCCUCCCCCAUCUUCGCUUGCUGGUAUUUCCUGAUGCAAUUCUUCCUCCAGUGUCUACUAAGAAACUCCUUCAGUUUUUUGUUCUUGCAAGAGGUGAAGAGAGAUGAUGGAUGAGGGAGUUGGUGUUCGACUGUUUUUGCUGUGUGGUCCCUGAAUCAGGAGGGGGUUUGUUUGUCCAGAACGAACCGGGUGGGAUGUUUAUCCGACCUGUUUAGUGAUUUUACUGCUAAUAAAUGUUUACUGUGUUGAUUGGUCA